This is a long non-coding RNA of Echinops telfairi (small Madagascar hedgehog), 1951 nucleotides long. RefSeq lists it as uncharacterized. NCBI's taxonomy places the organism in Eukaryota, Metazoa, Chordata, Mammalia, Afrosoricida, Tenrecidae. The transcript has 3 exons. The record is from RefSeq and is a predicted model, not a curated record.
AGCAGCCAAUGCGGAGAGGACCAUAGGCCGGCCCCACCAUGAGACAUGACGCUCCUCACUGGCCCAUAGCGCCAGGGUGCACAAGACAUACUGCGGGAAUUGUGUCUGAUUUGACCCCACCACACCAAGGACUACUAUCUGAUUCAUGGACUUGAGUUCGACUGGGCUGGGAUGCUUUCUUGAUAUGCAACUACUUCUUGACGUAACGCUCUUUCCUACACACAUGUGAGCGUCACUGGGUCUGCUUCUCUAGCCAGCGCAGCCUCAGACAACAGAACGCACAGAUAAUCCAGUCAUGAGCUUUCCUAGGGACGUUGAAAAUCAGAAAUAUUUAGGAUAUAGUUAUUUUGUCGGGACCGCUUAUUAUCAGCUGUGCAUAUAGGCAUGCCUCCCGCUGGUCCUCGGACUUUCAGUCACAUGGCCCCGUGGCCCCGUCAUACUCUGGCAAGUGAUACAAAGCUCCUUUAACAUCAUCUAUAGAUUCCCACAGGCACUCCAGCUGGCCUUAAGUCUUAGCCUAGGUGCUUGGCUCUAGGUCUGUGGGUCAGUAAAUAUAGCUCCCUGAUGAAGUCCCUAGAGGUAACCCACUUUCCAAGCCACCCUGAUGCCCAGAGACAUCAGUUCCCCCUCCUCCUCCAGCUGGUCCUGAACUCUGCUCCCUCCGAGGCCAGUACACCUUGCGUGCCUGCAUGAACCAGGUUCUGAGUGCAGGAAUCUGUGAGUCCAGAAGACGUUUUUCACUCCUGGCUUUUUUCCUUAAUGGCAGCGAGAUCCUCUGUUCUUGCCUUUGAGAUGACUGAUUUUAUAGCGAGUUGGGCGGCAAAAUUGACCAAUUUCCAAUUAGAGUUCUUUACAUCCUAUUUGCAUGUUUCGACCCAGUCAUUUGGCGAGAGUUAAAAAACAACGAUGGCUAGAAGAGUCGUAUCAAUUAAUGUACAGCACCACCCUUCCCUUUUCGCAAUCUGAUAUGAGCAGCCAAGCAGUGAGAAGAUGAUUUUCUCUGGGGGUAUGGUCUGCAUUGAUGAUACAAACAAUUGUUCUGGCAAAGCUCAUUCUCUUUCAGAUCCUGCAGUCUUCUCAUAAUAUGACAUUGGUUUAUGGGACAGAAACCAGCAGAAGCCUUCGGCCUGUCCUCUGUCAUGCAGGUGUGUGCUUCCCCACCACCGCAACACUGGAGCUGGGGAAGGUCUUCAGUCUGUCAUCUGAUUCACCGCUUUGGGACUUUCCAACUCUGACAAUUGAGUGCGGCAUCUCCUCAUAAUUGCACAAACUAUGUCCUUGAGAGCACCCAGAGAGGAGCUAGUCGUUGUGCCUGGGGUGGCUAUCUGCAUGGUCUUCAGUUUGAGGCCACCAGGAGCUCUGCGGAAGAAAGACCGGGCUGUCCACUCUCCUAGAUCAGUUACAGUCUUGGAAACCCAAGAGGGCUUCUCUCGGAGUCAGCAUUGAGUCAGCAGCGUUAUCUAUAAGAAGUUUUCGAUGGCGCCAAGGCAUCGCCUGUGGAUGGCCAGCGCACUGCCUUCCAGAUGGGCUGCGAGGGAACCGUGGCUUCUCCGAGUCGCUCUCCCAGGCUCUGUCCCUGUGGCCGUCAUGGCCCAUGGAAAUCAAAGAGAACCUGCAUGCCAGAAAAACAGGAAGAACACCCAGGAGAUUCGCAAGGGAAAAAGAAAAGAGGAAGCAGAGGGAUUCUGAGAUCAUGCAACAAAAGCAGAAGGCAGCUAACGAGAAGAAGUCUAUGCAGACAAGAGAAAAAUGAUGACUGGCUAGUUUGGAAUACCUGGGUGCUCCUGCCAACUAGGUGUUUAUCAUAUGCUCUGAGAUCCAGAUUUUGUAGAGUGAACCAUCAUUACAUAUGCUAUAACUUAUCCUUAGAAAAUGGUCUGUUUUAAACUUUAUCUUUCCAUCUGAUGUAGUGUGAUGUUUUAGAACCAUUCUUCACAAAAUAAAACCCUAA